CCGCACUGAGCGCCGGGGAGGACCUGCAGAGGGGUUAUGUAACGAGCUAUCAGCCUCCUGUUAUUGGCCCUUCUGAGGGCCGAGACGGGCCCGCCCAGCGAGAGGCAGGGGCCAAGUCUGGUCACUCAUCGACCAGAGAGAUAUUUGGCGGAGGCCUUGCUGGGGAUCUUGACGAAGGAAAGCUCCUUGCUGUAUCUGGUCAUGUUGCACGGCGUCUCACACACACAGACGUCGUUGUCUCUCUCCACCAGGAAAUCUGCAGAGAGGAAAACCAGAGCUCAGCGUGACCUUUUCCACAGAUCUGUGCUGCUGUGACUUAAAGAUGUCACGAGAUGAUGGAGACAAACGUCUGAAAACCGGGUGCCACUCCAAAUCCGAGCUGGUCAAUGAAGGACGGCUCGUCCUGACUGUGGAUCUGAACUUUGACCCCAGCUUCAAAAGACGUCUCAUCUGCAGGAAUUCAAAGAAUGAGGGAUCACAGCAACACGCUUUCACAAUGUGUUCCACCAAUGAAUCCAGACACUCGAGUUCAUGUCUCGGAGUUUUUCACUCUGAGGUAUUGACACACCCACACGCUGCUAGAGAGUGACAGAUAACCAGACACGGCAGCCAGUGAAUGAUGUCCC
Molecule: long non-coding RNA, 626 nt
Organism: Acanthopagrus latus (yellowfin seabream)
Lineage: Eukaryota; Metazoa; Chordata; Actinopteri; Spariformes; Sparidae
Exons: 3
Source: RefSeq, a predicted model, not a curated record